CGGACACGCGUGGUGUGCGCGGUCCCCGUGCAGCCCGCCCUGCCGCAGGCUGCCCUCCACCCCCAGCCCCAGCUCCAGCCCCCAGCCCGUCCCCACUGCUCAUAUCCGAGCAGAUAGACCCCGGCCCCACCCUCCCGUGCUGAGCCUCCUUUCUGCCGGGAAGUUCGUCCGGGAGUCAAACAUCGCUGCCCUCCGGUUGCGCCACGGAGGGGGAGCCAGGAUAGGAAGCUGCCGUGAAAUCAGGAAGCUGAGCGCGCCGGGCCCCGGAUCCGAACAGAAAAGGCUUCCACCCGCUCCCCUGAGGGAUCCCACGCUGAGGGACUGAACCCCGCACCCCAGCCGCGCUCACCACCCCCACCCUCUCGCCUGGGCUGCUCUGACCUGGGGAUUCCAGAACUGCCACUCAAAGUGCCCUAUGAGGAGCUGUGGUAACAAGGAAAUGUUCUCAUGACUCAAAAAUCAGUGGAAAAAGGUACAGGAUGAGAAGCCUUGUUUCCCAACCCUAUCAACAGGGCUGUGCUGUUUCCCUCUACCACGAAUGCUCUUCUUAAAUACGGCUCACUUCAUCUCCUUCUGAUACCUGCUUAAAUCUCAUCUUCUCAAAAUGGCCUUGUCUGACCAACUUAUUAAAAUAGUAUCCCAACUACAAGUCACUGUUAUUUUUUUCCUAGUUGUCCGUCUUCCCCCCAAUAGAAUAUAAACUAUAAAAGGAAGAGGCCUUUGUUUUAUGCGCUGCUCUAUCUCCAGACCCUAGAACAGUAGCAGGCUCUCAUAAGAAUAUGCAGAACAAGAUGUUGCACAAAGACAACACAUAUAUAUAUGUCUCCAAUUAAAACUUUUGUCACGGAUAACAAAAAAAGCUAAGAAAACAGUUUGAAACCCUGCACGCUCUGCUACUUAGAAUGAAA
Molecule: long non-coding RNA, 908 nt
Filed under: Homo sapiens (human)
Lineage: Eukaryota; Metazoa; Chordata; Mammalia; Primates; Hominidae
Description: HSALNT0311451
Source: RNAcentral